This 491-nucleotide ribosomal RNA is filed under the name uncultured bacterium. RNAcentral describes it as "bacterial SSU rRNA". It matches the Rfam family "Bacterial small subunit ribosomal RNA", at positions 29 to 507 of the family's 1533-position model. The record is from RNAcentral.
ACGAACGCUGGCGGCGUGCCUAAUACAUGCAAGUCGAGCGGAAUGAUGAAGAAGCUUGCUUCUUCUGAUUUUAGCGGCGGACGGGUGAGUAACACGUAGGCAACCAACCCUUAGGAUUGGGAUACUCCCGAGAAAUCGGGAACAAUACCGAAUAUGAUUCCGGGGUGAAAUUCCCUGGGAUAAAAGCUGCGAGCAAUCGUGGCGCCUGAGGAUGGGCCUGCGGCCUAUCAGCUAGUUGGUGAGGUAAUGGCUCACCAAGGCAGAGACGGGUAGCCGGACUGAGAGGUUGAACGGCCACACUGGAACUGAGAUACGGUCCAGACUCCUACGGGAGGCAGCAGUGAGGAAUUUUGCGCAAUGGGCGAAAGCCUGACGCAGCGACACCGCGUGGGGGAAGAAGGCUCUCGGGUUGUAAACUCCUUUCGUGAGGGAAAAAGUCCCGAGCAAUCGGGAUGAUGGUACCUCAGGAAGAAGCCACGGCUAACUCUGUG